GAUGAAGAACACAGCGAAAUGCGAUAAGUAAUGUGAAUUGCAGAAUUCAGUGAAUCAUCGAAUCUUUGAACGCACAUUGCGCCCCCUGGUAUUCCGGGGGGCAUGCCUGUUCGAGCGUCAUUUCACCACUCAAGCCUCGCUUGGUAUUGGGCAACGCGGUCCGCCGCGUGCCUCAAAUCGACCGGCUGGGUCUUCUGUCCCCUAAGCGUUGUGGAAACUAUUCGCUAAAGGGUGUUCGGGAGGCUACGCCGUAAAACAACCCCAUUUCUAAGGUUGACCUCGGAUCAGGUAGGGAUACCCGCUGAACUUAAGCAUAUCAAUAAGCGGAGGA
Molecule: unclassified non-coding RNA, 331 nt
Filed under: soil metagenome
Description: partial contains 5.8S ribosomal RNA, internal transcribed spacer 2, and large subunit ribosomal RNA
Rfam family: 5.8S ribosomal RNA (bases 1-120)
Source: RNAcentral